GUGACUCCUUAAGACUUCCAAAACUGGUACAUAAAGAUUAUACAACUUCUUUCUGGUCCUCUUGGAACACUGGCUCCUGGAACGUAGUCCCUAUGCCAUAAGGAAGCUGAAGGAGGCCAUGGAAAGGCCCAUGUGGAAGGAAAGAGAGCCCCCUCCAAUCUGCAACCCUCGGCCCCAGCUGAGCUUUCAGGAAACAAUAGCAUUAGCUUUCAAUCAUGUGAGAGAACUGUCUUCAAAGUAAAUCUUUCAGGCCUAAGUGGAGCUGCCCCAGCCAAUGAGAUGAGCCUUGUCUUGUGAAUCCUGCCCAAACUGUAGAUUUGUUGGGUUUUCAAGAUGAUCAUCAUUAAUAGCCUUAGAGAUAUUGGUGGUUUGCAGCAGUUAGAGAAGCCUCCCCCAAAAUAUUGCACCCAUUUCUAAGUUCAAGGAAGCAACUUUAAAAGAGUUAUAGUGGCUUCUGAAGAUGACUUCAGAGAGCGUUAGUCACCCCAAGAUCUGUGGCUGAGAAUGAGAGUGCAGCGAAGUGUCCUGAUUAAAAAUCACAUCUCCCAGUCUUCCUUGAAGCUAAACAUGAACAUUUGAUACCAUUUUGAACAACGAGAUCUGAAAUGCUAAAGAUAAAGCAGCCAUCUGCUGGCCAUGAGAAGAGAGGCAAUAGGAAAAAAAAAAACUACAUUCUAAAGAUGAGUCUUUCCAUGCUGUUGCAGAAGCUGUGUUACCUGUAAUCUCUAGUACUGCUCUGCCCCCUUGUGCUGCUGCAGUGAACUCGACAGAGGAACAGUGUGCCUUCGUCUUUGUACAUGAACUACAGAAAAACCCCACUGUCACUUCUCACUUUUCUGAGUGAAAGAAACCGAAAAAAAAGAAGAGGAAGAGGAGGAGGAGGAGGAAGAGGAGG
Long non-coding RNA from Gorilla gorilla gorilla (western lowland gorilla), 895 nucleotides. RefSeq lists it as uncharacterized. The transcript has 6 exons. The record is from RefSeq and is a predicted model, not a curated record. Lineage: Eukaryota; Metazoa; Chordata; Mammalia; Primates; Hominidae.